Conger conger (European conger) is the source of this 1257-nucleotide long non-coding RNA. RefSeq lists it as uncharacterized. The record is from RefSeq and is a predicted model, not a curated record. NCBI's taxonomy places the organism in Eukaryota, Metazoa, Chordata, Actinopteri, Anguilliformes, Congridae. The transcript is spliced from 3 exons.
CACCAACUAGCCACUAGAUGGCUUCUGUUUGAAACUGGUUCCUCCCUAUAUGUGAUGGGGGAAGGGAAAGUUUAAUGAAGGCCGCUGAUUUUCAGCACCUGUCCCAAGCUUCUCACAACGUGUGUGUAUGGAGAUGUGAACGGGUACUGUUUCCUGGGAGACUGCUGGGGAUGUUUUUCAUUGAGAGGACAACAGCAGAGUGGAAGUGUGUGGCAAUCGCUGUUCCUCUGGUGUUCCUUUUCAUGUUUCUUUUGUUUGAUUUUAUUUCCAAGUGUUUAAUCCUUUUUGCUAGCCAGUGCCCAUGAUAAUGCUGAUUAGUUGAUCAGCCUGUGUUCACUUAGCACUCUGGCCUGUGGCGGUGCUGGUUAGCAGCUUUGUAUAUUUAUUUGUUUGUUUGUUUUGUUUGUCAAAACCUUCCCGAUUGUUUGCCAGGCUAACCCAGCGCUGGAUUUAUGCAUGUUGGGAGGAAGAGCAGGGCUAAUGUUUGCAGUGCCACAUAGUGUGAAAAUUUGAACUUGGUUCUUUGUCUGCACCUGAUUAUUUGUGUGGGGUGUUUCUGACCGACGGUGUGUUUAACCCCUUGCUCUGCCUCAGAAGAGUAAAAUAAUUGUUUUAAGUUUGGGGUUAGUCCUUAACUGUGGGGAAGUUUUAUUGUGCUCAAACAUUCCAUAAUGAAAUCAAUGCAAUAAAUUAUGUUUUGAUACUUCCUAACUUUUCCUUGCUCUGCAUGGUUAAUUCUUAGUAUACGUGUGACCAGAUUACAGAUGGUAUGUUCUUCACACUCCAUGCUCCCCUGUCAUAGCAUUUUCUGGUUGUUCGUGUCUCUUGUCCUAGUUCGCUUUCCAUAGUCAUUACUUCACCUGUCUCUCACUUCCUGUUUCCCUGCACCCGUACGUGUUAUUCAUUUCAGUUAAUUUGUCUAUCUGUUUACCUGUCUGUUUCCUAGUUUCCUUGCCAGAUUAUGUGUCUUGACUGUACUUUCCAGUGUUUUUCUGCCUGCCUGCUCUGUGUUCCAACUCCAUAUGUGUGCCUUCUGGUUUUGGAUUUGCUUUCUUGGCCAAUCUUUGCUUGGCCUUUUGGAUUUUGAUUCUGGGAUUAUGUUGUACCGUUGGCUGUUUGGACUGCCUUCCGUUGUUUGGAUUUUUGCUCGUUAUUUCGACUACAAACUUGAUUUUCUCUGUUGCACGUGUUUGCCUGCAUUCGACCCCAUGCCUGCCUGAUCUGCCUGUCAUUUAAUAAAGACAUCUUUUCUGCCUA